UGAGCAUGUGGUUUAAUUCGAAGCAACGCGAAGAACCUUACCAGGUCUUGACAUCCCCUGACAACCCGAGAGAUCGGGCGUUCCCCUUCGGGGGACAGGGUGACAGGUGGUGCAUGGUUGUCGUCAGCUCGUGUCGUGAGAUGUUGGGUUAAGUCCCGCAACGAGCGCAACCCUCGACCUUAGUUGCCAGCAUUCAGUUGGGCACUCUAAGGUGACUGCCGGCUAAAAGUCGGAGGAAGUGGGGAUGACGUCAAAUCAUCAUGCCCCUUAUGACCUGGGCUACACACGUGCUACAAUGGGCGGUACAAAGGGUCGCGAACCCGCGAGGGGGAGCCAAUCCCAAAAAGCCGCUCUCAGUUCGGAUUGCAGGCUGCAACUCGCCUGCAUGAAGCCGGAAUCGCUAGUAAUCGCGGAUCAGCAUGCCGCGGUGAAUACGUUCCCGGGCCUU
This 448-nucleotide ribosomal RNA is filed under the name uncultured Anoxybacillus sp. Its description in RNAcentral is "bacterial SSU rRNA". It matches the Rfam family "Bacterial small subunit ribosomal RNA", at positions 934 to 1382 of the family's 1533-position model. Lineage: Bacteria; Bacillati; Bacillota; Bacilli; Caryophanales; Anoxybacillaceae. The record is from RNAcentral.